This 250-nucleotide ribosomal RNA is filed under the name uncultured bacterium. RNAcentral's name for it is "partial 16S ribosomal RNA". It matches the Rfam family "Bacterial small subunit ribosomal RNA", at positions 524 to 773 of the family's 1533-position model. The record is from RNAcentral.
UACGAAGGGGGCGAGCGUUGUUCGGAAUCACUGGGCGUAAAGCGUGCGUAGGUGGUUCAGUAAGUUGGGAGUGAAAUCCCGGGGCUCAACCCCGGAAUUGCUUUCAAAACUACUGGACUAGAAUUCGGGAGAGGAUAGCGGAAUUCUCAGUGUAGCAGUGAAAUGCGUAGAUAUUGAGAGGAACACCAAUGGCGUAGGCAGCUAUCUGGACCGACAUUGACACUGAGGCACGAAAGCGUGGGGAUCAAAC